Molecule: ribosomal RNA, 233 nt
Filed under: uncultured methanogenic archaeon
Lineage: Archaea; Methanobacteriati; Methanobacteriota
Description: partial 16S ribosomal RNA
Rfam family: Archaeal small subunit ribosomal RNA
Source: RNAcentral
UUCGUAGCUUGGUCGUUAAGUCUCUGGGGAAAUCUUUUGGCUCAACCGAGAGGCUUCUCAGGGAAACUGACGAUCUUGGAACCGGGAGAGGUAGGAGGUACUUCGGGGGUAGGAGUGAAAUCUUGUAAUCCCGGAGGGACCACCGAUGGCGAAGGCUUCUUACCGGAACGGCUUCGACAGUGAGGGACGAAAGCUGGGGGAGCAAACCGGAUUAGAUACCCGGGUAGUCCCAG